Molecule: ribosomal RNA, 414 nt
Filed under: uncultured microorganism
Description: bacterial SSU rRNA
Rfam family: Archaeal small subunit ribosomal RNA
Source: RNAcentral
CAGCAGCCGCGGUAAUACCGGCGGCCCGAGUGGCGGUCACUAUUAUUGGGCUUAAAACGUCCGUAGCCGGGUUGGGAAGUCCUCCGGGAAAUCUGGCCGCUUAACGGUCAGAAUGCCGGAGGAUACUCCCAGCCUAGGGAGCGGGAGAGGCCGAGGGUAUUCCCGGAGUAGGGGGGAAAUCCUAUAAUCCCGGGAGGACCACCUGUGGCGAAGGCGCUCGGCUGGAACGCGUCCGACGGUGAGGGACGAAGGCCAGGGGAGCAAACCGGAUUAGAUACCCGGGUAGUCCUGGCUGUAAACGAUGCGGACUUUGUGUCGGACAAGCUAUGAGCUUGUCCGGUGCCGGAGGGAAACCGUUAAGUCCGCCGCCUGGGGAGUACGGCCGCAAGGCUGAAACUUAAAGGAAUUGGCGGG